Molecule: long non-coding RNA, 1101 nt
Filed under: Equus caballus (horse)
Lineage: Eukaryota; Metazoa; Chordata; Mammalia; Perissodactyla; Equidae
Description: lncRNA (ENSECAG00000042939.2)
Source: RNAcentral
GUGAAUCUGUUGACCAUUGAUGACUGAAAAACUUUAACUGUCAGGGAUUAUCUCUAACAGUGGUCUCCAAGGCAGUUAUCACAAUGCGCAUUACCCAGAUAGGCAAACAAUGGCCGACCACACCCAUAAGGAAGGCCAACUUUACUCCCUUUGGGUACUUAAAUAUUUAGCUUACUCACUGCCCAAAUGCCUUCUUUGACUGGUCAUGGAGUCUCAGGUUUAUAGGGUGUCAGGGAGUGAUAUGCAGCUCAUUGUUGCAUAAACAAUGAUCAAAUGAUGUAAUUAUAACCCAGUUAGAGAUGUUCCUCAUCAGUGACUACAGCCAAUGGUAAAUGUUAGCUGAGGAUUAACUCCCCAAUUGCUUGAACAGGGGAGCUUGACCAGGAGCAGCAGAUGAUGGCAUAAAGUGUUUGCUGAUCUCCAAGACUCCUAUGACUAUAGUUUGAAGGAACUUACAACUUAGCGGGAGCAGACAAGUAAAUUUAAUGCAUGGAGAGUUUUUGUUUAAAGGAAGGUCACUUCCCAUAGCCUGUGGAUUGAGGAGAAGAUGCUGAGAAGACUUUCUGAAGGGUCAAACUGCAUCUUAGUCCCGAAUGAUGCAUGAGAAUUGGCCAGGUGGAGAAGAAUGAGGGGAAGAGGGUUCUAAGCAGAGGAAAUAAUAUGAGCAAAGUAAUGGAAGCCCAAAACAGGAAAGUGGUUAUAUGAGACUGCGAUUUGGUGUUAAGAAAGUGGGAAAUUCAAGGCAAGGAGUGCUGACAGAUGAGUCUAGAGAGGUAACUAUGUAUUAUCAUAAAGAACCUACAGCAAUAGACCUAGCAAAUGGUGGCUUGAAUCGGGAUCGUGGAAGUAGGAAUAGAGGGACAGGAGGACAGCCCUUAGAUUCUUGACGGCAGGAGACACCUCUACACUCUUAGGAGCCCAAAGAAGAGCUGAGAAGAAUCUGCAGAACAAACCUUUCCUUCCGUUAGUUCCCCCCGUAUAUUUACCUUCCCACACUUGGCUGCCCCUAAAAGCCUAAACUCCUUUUCCUUUGUCUUGUUACUUCCCUACAAAUUUAUUGUUUUCAGUUGAGGUGCUGUAUAAGCUCCAGUUCUAACCACC